ACAGCUAGAGCAGAGCUGACCUUCAUUGAGAUCACUGAGUUCUGCAUGAACACCUUGUGGAAUAACUAAAACAGAGCUGACCUCAGUGAGCUCAGAAUUGAGUCCUACAUGAGCACCAGGAACCAAGUGUAUGAAGGCAAGAACAAAGAAACCAUUGUUCAGCUUUGAGUUCCAAUUCGGAUUCUUAAAACUAAAAACAGAAACAAAAUGAGUCUUGGGAGUAAGUUUUCUAAUGCAGAAGCCAACCAAUUGAGAGAGAGGAGACUGGUUACAUUCUGUGAAAGGGCUCAGUACCUGAGAGCAUGAUGUAACAACCCCCAGAGACAUCUUCCAUUGUUCGUUGGGUACCAUGAUUGUUUCAUAAUAUACACUGAAUGUCAAAUGGCUACUGGACACCUGCUCACAAGAUCUUACAGGAGAACAAGUUUUGGUCACUUGUCAACGGGUAAGAGAAAGAACAUAGCAGCAUGAUAUGAUACCAUUUCUAUGCUCCAAACAUUCUGAAAUGGAAAAUAAAAAAAUUAAA
Talpa occidentalis (Iberian mole) is the source of this 526-nucleotide long non-coding RNA. RefSeq lists it as uncharacterized. NCBI's taxonomy places the organism in Eukaryota, Metazoa, Chordata, Mammalia, Eulipotyphla, Talpidae. The transcript is spliced from 3 exons. The record is from RefSeq and is a predicted model, not a curated record.